GGGCAAUCGUUCGGCCAAUACUUGCGAUGUUAAUCGAGCAAGGGGGCGUUCGGCCAAACUUGCAAUGUCAUCGAGCAAGUUUGGUGGGUGGUCGGCCGGCACUUGCGAUGUUAAUCGAAAAAGCGGGCAGUCGUUCAGCCAAUACUUGCGAUGUUAAUCGAGCAAGUUUGGUGGGUGGUCGGCCGGAACUUGCGAUGUUAGUCGAGCAAGGGGGCAUUCGGUCGGCCGAAAAGUCGGCCAAGCAUUGAGACUUGGUGGCGCAAAUUAUGUCUCCUAUAACUAGAAAUAAUCUAUCUAGUAUUAUUUUACAAAGGCGCAAAUUUACAUAUUUUCCCAGGACACUUCUCUCACGGAAGAAACUUGUAACUAUAACAUACACACUAUAACCAGUAAACUCAGAAAUGCACUGAACUCACAGAGAGAACAAAUACCCUAUGAUUAGAGAAAUUAAAAUUUAACCUAGAAUUCUGAGGCAACUUGUGAUUGAACGCAAACAAGUUGCAAAUAACCUGAAAAAUUUCAAUGAGACACUAGUUGA
RNAcentral lists this long non-coding RNA (538 nucleotides) under Phaseolus vulgaris (common bean). Its description in RNAcentral is "long non-coding RNA (PVUL_LNC005298)". Lineage: Eukaryota; Viridiplantae; Streptophyta; Magnoliopsida; Fabales; Fabaceae. The record is from RNAcentral.